AGUUAGAUUAGUUUUAAAUACUCCAUAUGGCUCUUAUAUUUACUCUAAAAUCAUAGAAGUUGCUUGUUGGGUAUAAAAUACCCCCUCAGCCGAAGUUUGCGCCAGGAGUGAUCACUCAGGGAUUCUACCGGCGUCCGACCUUUGGCAACUUCUCUCCUGCGGCUAAGUCUCCGCAGCAUUCUCGAGUUCUGCCGAUGGGUAAAUCCCCACC
This 211-nucleotide long non-coding RNA is filed under the name Elaeis guineensis (African oil palm). RNAcentral's name for it is "long non-coding RNA (EGUI_LNC054041)". The record is from RNAcentral. Lineage: Eukaryota; Viridiplantae; Streptophyta; Magnoliopsida; Arecales; Arecaceae.